UACGAAGUGUUGGCUCCGGCGGGUUUU
This 27-nucleotide small RNA is filed under the name Bombyx mori (domestic silkworm). Its description in RNAcentral is "ovarian small RNA-20961". The record is from RNAcentral. Lineage: Eukaryota; Metazoa; Arthropoda; Insecta; Lepidoptera; Bombycidae.